This 282-nucleotide ribosomal RNA is filed under the name uncultured bacterium. Its description in RNAcentral is "partial 16S ribosomal RNA". It matches the Rfam family "Bacterial small subunit ribosomal RNA", at positions 37 to 339 of the family's 1533-position model. The record is from RNAcentral.
UGGCGGCAUGCCUAACACAUGCAAGUCGGACGCCCUGGAGCGAUCCAGGGAGUGGCGCACGGGUGAGUAACGCGUGGGAACCUGCCCCGAGGUACGGAACAACGGCUGGAAACGGCCGCUAAUACCGUAUGUGUCCCCGAGGGGAGAAAGGCUUGUCCGCCUUGGGAGGGGCCCCGCGUCCGAUUAGCUAGUAGGCGGGGUAACGGCCCACCUAGGCGACGAUCGGUAGCUGGUCUGAGAGGAUGAUCAGCCACACUGGGACUGAGACACGGCCCAGACUCC